GGGUCCAUGGUAUAAUGGUUAGCACAAGGAACUAUGAAUUCAACAGUCCGAGUUCGUGUCUCGGUGGGACCU
Molecule: non-coding RNA, 72 nt
Organism: Halocaridina rubra (Hawaiian volcano shrimp)
Lineage: Eukaryota; Metazoa; Arthropoda; Malacostraca; Decapoda; Atyidae
Source: the annotation of a GenBank genome assembly